GAUGAACGCUGGCGGCGUGCCUAAUACAUGCAAGUCGAGCGAACAGAUGAGGAGCUUGCUCCUCUGACGUUAGCGGCGGACGGGUGAGUAACACGUGGAUAACCUACCUAUAAGACUGGGAUAACUUCGGGAAACCGGAGCUAAUACCGGAUAAUAUAUUGAACCGCAUGGUUCAAUAGUGAAAGACGGUUUUGCUGUCACUUAUAGAUGGAUCCGCGCCGCAUUAGCUAGUUGGUAAGGUAACGGCUUACCAAGGCAACGAUGCGUAGCCGACCUGAGAGGGUGAUCGGCCAAACUGGGACUGAAAACCGGUCCCGACUCCUACGGGGGGCAAGAGGAAGGAAUCUUCCGCCAUGGGCGAAAGCCUUACGGAGCAACGCCGCGGGGGGGAUGAAGGGCUUCGGAUCGUAAAACUCUGUUAUUAGGGAAGAACAAAUGUGUAAGUAACUAUGCACGUCUUGACGGUACCUAAUCAGAAAGCCACGGCUAACUACGUG
This 497-nucleotide ribosomal RNA is filed under the name uncultured bacterium. RNAcentral describes it as "partial 16S ribosomal RNA". It matches the Rfam family "Bacterial small subunit ribosomal RNA", at positions 28 to 507 of the family's 1533-position model. The record is from RNAcentral.